UCGAGCGGUAAGGCUCCUUCGGGAGUACACGAGCGGCGAACGGGUGAGUAACACGUGAGCAAUCUGCCCUCCACAUCGGGAUAACCCCCGGAAACGGGAGCUAAUACCGGAUACGACCACUUCAGGCAUCUGAUGGUGGUGGAAAGUUCCGGCGGUGGAGGAUGAGCUCGCGGCCUAUCAGCUUGUUGGUGAGGUAAUGGCCCACCAAGGCUUCGACGGGUAGCCGGCCUGAGAGGGUGACCGGCCACACUGGGACUGAGACACGGCCCAGACUCCUACGGGAGGCAGCAGUGGGGAAUAUUGGACAAUGGGCGAAAGCCUGAUCCAGCAACGCCGCGUGAGGGAUGACGGCCUUCGGGUUGUAAACCUCUUUCAGCGCAGACGAAGCGAAAGUGACGGUAUGCGCAGAAGAAGCACCGGCCAACUACGUGCCAGCAGCCGCG
Molecule: ribosomal RNA, 443 nt
Filed under: uncultured soil bacterium
Lineage: Bacteria
Description: bacterial SSU rRNA
Rfam family: Bacterial small subunit ribosomal RNA
Source: RNAcentral